UUUUUAUUCUUGGGCUACCAUAGGGUCUCAAAGGCAACGUACCCAAUCUGGCAAAUUUUAAUGUGAAAAAAAAUGAAACACAAGCCUUAUAUUUGACUCUGUAACUUUUGAAAACACCAUAAAACCUGUACAUGAGGGGUACUGUUGCAAAAAAAGUCACUUUUACUGGCGAUAUCAUCAUUGUAAUACAUUUUACUAUUUUGAAACACUAAUAUUUGUGUUCAGCGAAGUCCCCCGAGUAGAACAAUACCCCCCCAUGUACAGGUUUUAUGGUGUCUUGGAAAGUUAUAGGGUUAAAUAAGGUAAUACCUUGGGUUGUCUACUAUUGCAAAUGGUAUGCCAUUAUGGGUGUAAAUUUCAUUCCUGGGCUACUAUAAAGUCCCAAAGGCAACGUAACCAAUCUGGCGAAUUUAAAUUUCAAAUGUAACGUGCUAUAUUUGACCCUGUAACUUUCCAAAACGCCAUAAAACCUGUACAUAGGGGGCACUGUUUUACA
Pelobates cultripes (western spadefoot toad) is the source of this 496-nucleotide non-coding RNA. Lineage: Eukaryota; Metazoa; Chordata; Amphibia; Anura; Pelobatidae. The record is from the annotation of a GenBank genome assembly.